UUGUUGUCAUCGAUUGUCAUCAAAGUUGAAAUCAGCUUAGCUGCGGAUAGAUUUCUGCCAUAAGCUGUUGAAGGGAUCAUUUGAGUGAAAUCAAUGUUGAUUUAUCAGAAGAUGCAGUUGAAGAUAUCUUAAUUAAGGAUGUAAUACAAUUAUAAAGACUGAUGGUUAUAACAGCUGAUCAUGCUAAGGACUGUUAUAAUUAACCACUGCUCCUUAUAAAGACUGAUGGACUUAAAUACUGAUGAGGCCU
Molecule: long non-coding RNA, 250 nt
Organism: Helianthus annuus (common sunflower)
Lineage: Eukaryota; Viridiplantae; Streptophyta; Magnoliopsida; Asterales; Asteraceae
Exons: 3
Source: RefSeq, a predicted model, not a curated record